RNAcentral lists this long non-coding RNA (225 nucleotides) under Amborella trichopoda. Its description in RNAcentral is "long non-coding RNA (ATRI_LNC003130)". Lineage: Eukaryota; Viridiplantae; Streptophyta; Magnoliopsida; Amborellales; Amborellaceae. The record is from RNAcentral.
GCAGCUCGGCUCGUUUGCUGCGGGAAUAUGGCUGCUGGCGUGCUCGGUUUCGCUGGAACUCGGCAUCUGAAAAACCAGUCCGGCCAUGUUGAUGCUGGCCAUGACUUUGGUCGGAGGACGGACCGAACUUCUCAUGAUUUCCACAGGUGUAAGUGUCACAGGAAGAAGAAGAAGAGCCACUUCUGGUUAUCUCGGCCUCGAGCCGCUUCAUCACCUCCAUCACAG